This 148-nucleotide non-coding RNA is filed under the name Nomascus leucogenys (northern white-cheeked gibbon). Lineage: Eukaryota; Metazoa; Chordata; Mammalia; Primates; Hylobatidae. The record is from Rfam by way of RNAcentral.
GCCGGGUGUGGUGGCGCAUGCCUGUAAUCCCAGCUACUCAGGAGGCUGAGACAGGAGAAUCACUUGAACCCAGGAGGCGAAGGUUGUAGUGAGCCAAGAUUGUGACACUGCACUCCAGCCUGGGCGACAGAGUGAGACUCUGUCUCAA